Molecule: non-coding RNA, 209 nt
Filed under: Ruegeria arenilitoris
Lineage: Bacteria; Pseudomonadati; Pseudomonadota; Alphaproteobacteria; Rhodobacterales; Roseobacteraceae
Source: RNAcentral
GAUGAGAUUGGCGCUGAUGGUUCCCGAUCGUUUUGGCGGUCGGGUAAAAGGGAAUACGGUGCGGCGCCGUUCUGACGCCAAUUCCGUGACUGCCCCCGCAACUGUAGGCGGUGUGCGACCCCCGGAUGCCACUGGGCCGAUAGGUCUGGGAAGGCGGGGCAAGCCAUACACCGCGAGUCAGGAGACCUGCCAUCAUCAAACGCAACUCA